UGGCUCCAGCAACAGAUUAACCCA
This 24-nucleotide non-coding RNA is filed under the name Mus musculus (house mouse). The record is from RNAcentral. Lineage: Eukaryota; Metazoa; Chordata; Mammalia; Rodentia; Muridae.